CUUGGUCAUUUAGAGGAAGUAAAAGUCGUAACAAGGUCUCCGUUGGUGAACCAGCGGAGGGAUCAUUACCGAGUUUACAACUCCCAAACCCCUGUGAACAUACCUAUACGUUGCCUCGGCGGAUCAGCCCGCGCCCUGUAAAAAGGGACGGCCCGCCCGAGGACCCUAAACUCUGUUUUUAGUGGAACUUCUGAGUAAAACAAACAAAUAAAUCAAAACUUUCAACAACGGAUCUCUUGGUUCUGGCAUCGAUGAAGAACGCAGCGAAAUGCGAUAAGUAAUGUGAAUUGCAGAAUUCAGUGAAUCAUCGAAUCUUUGAACGCACAUUGCGCCCGCCAGUAUUCUGGCGGGCAUGCCUGUUCGAGCGUCAUUUCAACCGUCAAGCCCCCGGCUUGUGUUGGGGACCUGCGGCUGCCGCAGGCCCUGAAAACCAGUGGCGGGCUCGCUAGUCACUCCGAGCGUAGUAAUACAUCUCGCUCAGGGCGUGCUGCGGGUUCCGGCCGUUAAAAAGCCUUAUUUACCCAAAGGUUGACCUCGGAUCAGGUAGGAAUACCCGCUGAACUUAAGCAUAUCAAUAAGCGGAGGA
Molecule: unclassified non-coding RNA, 586 nt
Filed under: uncultured fungus
Lineage: Eukaryota; Fungi
Description: sequence contains ITS1, 5.8S rRNA gene and ITS2
Rfam family: 5.8S ribosomal RNA (bases 217-370)
Source: RNAcentral